GCUCAGGUGGCCGAGCGGUUCAGGCAUCUGUCGCGUAAACGGAGGACGCUGGUUCGAUUCCAGCCCUGGGCA
Non-coding RNA from Cydia pomonella (codling moth), 72 nucleotides. NCBI's taxonomy places the organism in Eukaryota, Metazoa, Arthropoda, Insecta, Lepidoptera, Tortricidae. The record is from the annotation of a RefSeq genome assembly.